Molecule: unclassified non-coding RNA, 393 nt
Filed under: Carissa macrocarpa
Lineage: Eukaryota; Viridiplantae; Streptophyta; Magnoliopsida; Gentianales; Apocynaceae
Description: partial external transcribed spacer
Source: RNAcentral
ACGUCUGCCCCCGCAUGCCCUUUUCAUUUGUGGUCCAAGAGCAAAGCUGGCCCUGGACGAGUCGUGGGUUUCCUGUGCUGCGUACCCACCGCGAAGGCACUCUUUAGUCCCAUCGUUCCUCGUUCGUCUUGUGUUGCCCCGCGUUUUUUGGACACGAGACGAACCCCUCGCAGCUUGCUCCGCGAUCCACCGCACGGUUGUCGGAAUCGUGGCUCGCGGAGUUUUGCUCGAGCUCUCGGAUGCAGAACGCCACGUGGGAACACGGGGUCUUAUGGCCCCCCGUUUCGCCCAACGAGCGUUCGUCGCUAAGCAGCGCACGACUGUCGUUCUCGCCUUGGUCGGCCGUCCCCCGGGCGGUCCGUUCAUGCGGUGCCGGCGUCGUUGAGGAAUGCU